GGGUUGUUAGCUCAGUUGGUAGAGCUGCGGACUCUUAAUCCGUAGGUCGAGCGUUCGAGUCGCUCACAACCCACCA
Molecule: transfer RNA, 76 nt
Filed under: Oxalobacter formigenes
Lineage: Bacteria; Pseudomonadati; Pseudomonadota; Betaproteobacteria; Burkholderiales; Oxalobacteraceae
Also listed under: 5 other names
Description: tRNA-Lys
Rfam family: tRNA
About the family: Transfer RNA (tRNA) molecules are approximately 80 nucleotides in length. Their secondary structure includes four short double-helical elements and three loops (D, anti-codon, and T loops).
Source: RNAcentral